AUACGGAGGAUCCGAGCGUUAUCCGGAUUUAUUGGGUUUAAAGGGUGCGCAGGCGGGAGAUUAAGUCGGCGGUGAAAUUUUGCAGCUCAACUGUAUAAGUGCCUUCGAAACUGGUUUCCUUGAGUGUAGAUGAAGUAGGCGGAAUUUGUGGUGUAGCGGUGAAAUGCAUAGAUAUCACGAGGAACUCCGAUUGCGCAGGCAGCUUACUAAACUACUACUGACGCUCAGGCACGAAGGCGUGGGGAUCAAACAGGAUUAGAUACCCUGGUAGUCCACGCAGUAAACGAUGAUUACUAGCUGUUUGCGAUACAAUGUAAGCGGCUGAGCGAAAGCGUUAAGUAAUCCACCUGGGGAGUACGUUCGCAAGAAUGAAACUCAAAUGAAUUGGCGGGG
RNAcentral lists this ribosomal RNA (393 nucleotides) under uncultured bacterium. RNAcentral describes it as "partial 16S ribosomal RNA". It matches the Rfam family "Bacterial small subunit ribosomal RNA", at positions 523 to 918 of the family's 1533-position model. The record is from RNAcentral.